RNAcentral lists this ribosomal RNA (372 nucleotides) under uncultured organism. RNAcentral describes it as "bacterial SSU rRNA". It matches the Rfam family "Bacterial small subunit ribosomal RNA", at positions 526 to 896 of the family's 1533-position model. The record is from RNAcentral.
CAGAGGGUGCAAGCGUUAAUCGGAAUUACUGGGCGUAAAGCGCGCGUAGGUGGUUUGUUAAGUUGGAUGUGAAAUCCCCGGGCUCAACCUGGGAACUGCAUUCAAAAACUGACUGACUAGAGUAUGGUAGAGGGUGGUGGAAUUUCCUGUGUAGCGGUGAAAUGCGUAGAUAUAGGAAGGAACACCAGUGGCGAAGGCGACCACCUGGACUGAUACUGACACUGAGGUGCGAAAGCGUGGGGAGCAAACAGAAUUAGAUACCCUGGUAGUCCACGCCGUAAACGAUGUCAACUAGCCGUGGGGAGCCUUGAGCUCUUAGUGGCGCAGCUAACGCAUUAAGUUGACCGCCUGGGGAGUACGGCCGCAAGGUUA